Molecule: small nucleolar RNA, 129 nt
Organism: Chrysolophus pictus (golden pheasant)
Lineage: Eukaryota; Metazoa; Chordata; Aves; Galliformes; Phasianidae
Source: Ensembl
UUGCACUGUUCGUAACCUGUUAGCAAUGUAAUUCUGUUAAUGGGUUCCAUUCCGGUGCUACAUGAUAACCCCAAGAUAAUGGAAGGCUGGCUGCUUGUUUGCCUGCCCCCUUUAUUUUGGGGGACAUAA